AGGUGCUAAAGGAUUGAAGAUCUUAUAUUUCUAUCUCUAUAAUUUCGAUCUCUAUAAUUCCCUCCUAAGGCAUGUGUGCAGCCAUUAAGAUUAGUGCACUUUGGCCAUGAAGAAUGCUCUCUUUCCAUCAGGGGGGACGUGGCCUUAAUGAGAACAGAUUGCAGAAGUGGAAAUAAGACGACUGCGCCAAGUUUUAAAUCUGAGAUUUGUAGGUCUACAGCAGAGUGAGGCUCCAGAUUAAGCGAGAUAUGGAGAAGCUGCUACUGCCCUUCAUUACUUUAAUGCCUGUCCUGUAUUUUUCCACUUCAUUUCCCGAUCUUCAACCUCAUCGUUUGACACCUUAAGACCUCCAGAGAUUGAUAUCUGUCUGCCUGGAUUUUCUUUUUUGGACAAUUCUUCUUUGGCAUCACAAGAGUGGCUGCAUAGAGCAUCAGUAUUACAUCAGCAUGUGUGCUUGUGCCAAAUCUUCAGAAUGUGCCGUUUUAACUCACCAAAUAAGGCCAAGACGCCUGGAGUGUAAACAAAUGUAGAAAAGAGCAUAUUCAACUCAUUUAUAUGGCAACGUAGCAGCUAACAGCCAAAUGCUCAUAAAAAUUGAUGAAGUUCACGAGUAUGGAAAAAGUGAUGGAUGCUUUGCUUUGUUGCAUUUGUGUCUCGGGAUCCCGGCCAACGUUGGAAUCGGCAACCUUUCAGCACAGUUUGUUUAUGAGC
This is a non-coding RNA of Doryrhamphus excisus (bluestripe pipefish), 711 nucleotides long. The record is from RefSeq and is a predicted model, not a curated record. Lineage: Eukaryota; Metazoa; Chordata; Actinopteri; Syngnathiformes; Syngnathidae.